This 497-nucleotide ribosomal RNA is filed under the name uncultured bacterium. Its description in RNAcentral is "partial 16S ribosomal RNA". It matches the Rfam family "Bacterial small subunit ribosomal RNA", at positions 28 to 507 of the family's 1533-position model. The record is from RNAcentral.
GAUGAACGCUGGCGGCGUGCCUAAUACAUGCAAGUCGAGCGAACGGACGAGAAGCUUGCUUCUCUGAUGUUAGCGGCGGACGGGUGAGUAACACGUGGAUAACCUACCUAUAAGACUGGGAUAACUUCGGGAAACCGGAGCUAAUACCGGAUGAUAUUUUGAACCGCAUGGUUCAAAAGUGAAAGACGGUCUUGCUGUCACUUAUAGAUGGAUCCGCGCUGCACUAGCUAGUUGGUAAGGUAACGGCUUACCAAGGCAACGAUGCAUAGCCGACCUGAGAGGGGGAUCGGCCACACUGGAACUGAGACACGGUCCAGACUCCUACGGGAGGCAGCAGUAGGGAAUCGUCCGCAAUGGGCGAAAGCCUGACGGAGCAACGCCGCGUGAGUGAUGAAGGUCUUCGGAUCGUAAAACUCUGUUAUUAGGGAAGAACAUAUGUGUAAGUAACUGUGCACAUCUUGACGGUACCUAAUCAGAAAGCCACGGCUAACUACGUG